Molecule: long non-coding RNA, 3067 nt
Organism: Ostrea edulis (European flat oyster)
Lineage: Eukaryota; Metazoa; Mollusca; Bivalvia; Ostreida; Ostreidae
Exons: 4
Source: RefSeq, a predicted model, not a curated record
GUUCACCCUCGGCCUAACACGAAUGCACAGCACGUAGUGCAACGAUGGCAAACAGUUGUACACCACCUACCCGUGUGCCCUACACCCAGUGUCCACUCACAUAGUACCUACCGUGGGGAUUCAGGCGGCACGGGCAUGAAACACCCGGGGGAAUGGGACCUAGACUGUUACAGAACAAAUCAAAGAUUCGGAGGAUGGAAAUAAAGAUUCAGAAAACCACAGUGUGGUGGUAUGGAUUGCCGGAUCAUACUCAGUGAAAUCAACACAUAGAAAACCAUAGCAUGGUGAUCCGGAAUAUUGGAUCUCGAUCAGUGAAAUAAGCAGUAUUAGCACACAGGAAACCACAGUGUGGUGAUCCAGAAAGUUGGAUCACACUGUGAAAUCAGAUGUAUCACAUAGAAAACCACAUUGUGGUGAUCCGGAAUAUUGGAUCAUACUCUGUGAAAUCAGAAGAUCGUAUCACAUAGAAAACCACAUUGUGGUGAUCCGGAAAGUUGGAUCACACUGUGAUAUCAGAAGUAUCACAUAGAAAACCACAUUGUGGUGAUCCGGAAUAUUGGAUCAUACUCUGUGAAAUCAGAAGUAUCAACACACAGAAAAACAAUGGGUAUGUAAUACAUAAAAUGACAUUUGCAAAACAUUUACUCUAUUGAGCCUGAACCUGGUGACCUGUGUAUGGGACUGAGCAUUAAAAUAACAUGUAUUACUCAAUCUUACUGGUCCAGUCAUCAUGGAAAUAUUAAAUGCCAGACACGAAAACUUUAGCAUCAGAAUAGGAUUACAAAAUUAACAUUUGAUCAUGGCAUUUCACAUUCAUGAAGCAACAAUUUAUCAUCUGAUAGAGAGCCAUGAGGAAGAAUAUGUCUGUCAAAAAAUUUGUCACUAACUGUGACGAGAUAAUUUAUUAAGCAAUCUACUGCUUAAUUAUCCAAAAGAGUGAAAAAAGUCAAUUUUCCAAAAGCAAACUUGAAGAUGGUUAAUCCCCAAGAGCUACAGUGCCAAGGCAGGUCUAGGUGAAUCGUAAUGGAAGCAUAGACCGAGGCCUGACAGUGUGAUUUACGUUGAUAGGCCUCACGAAUGAGACUUCAAAGUCCGACAUUGUCAUCCGUAAUGAGAAAUGCUGCAACACGAUUAAUCGCAUAUGAUCAAUAAAUGCUCUGAUAGCAAAAUGAAAUAGGCUGGCAAGCGAUUCAUCACCCAGGAAAAAAGUCCCUCAUUUUUGAUUCCUCGUGAAUCAAUAUACCUGGGCAGCAUGAAGAAAAAAUAUGACACUUCAGUCAUCAAUUAAUACUAGGCUCCCAAAGCAGCCAUGAUUAAGGAGAGAGAGAGAAGGAGAAAUGGAAAGGCAGACUAAGGGAGUGAGAUGACAAUCACUGUUUAAUCAAUAAAUCUAAGCCAGAAGUUCAUGCAUACUAAAGAAAUCCGGCUGGCAGAAGAGGAAUAACUCUUGACCAAGAGCUGCCACGUCUCCAAGCUGUCCAGAAGAUUAGGGAUAACUGACAAGUUCUAACACAGGACAAAACUGAAGGUCUUUAGAAGUAUUAAGGUCCUCUUGGGCUAAAACAACUGUCUGAUGGAAAAUCAAUCGGGAAUGUUUUUGAACUCUUUAACUAUAGAAGACUGUCAGCUCUCAUAUCACUUCAAAUUAUCUAAUACUGAAGGUAUAUCCUCCAUUAGAUAUUUCUGUCAUGUUUACUGUCUUUGUGAAAGAGGAAAGAUUAUUGAGUUCACAUUCCAGACUGCAGAUAGACUAUUAAUUACUACAGUUAAUUAAUUACUUGAUUCUGUAACACCUGAGUACUCAGACACAGACAACGUACACCUGACCACUUCAUCAGCUUUUCUGUGUGGUCGUCUCCCUUACAGAGCCAUAAACACUGUUAGAAACUGUGUGGAAAAAUUGUAAAGUGAUGGCAGAGAACUGAAAUGUGAAUGACAUGAAUUAAGGACCUGGGAUACCCCCCAAACAAUUGUAGAAUUUUGUAAAACUAUAUUUGUAAAUGUUUUGAUAUUGCUAAAAACCCAUAUUCACUACAAAAUUUUCAUAUGAAACCAUCCUUUUUUUUUGCAGUAUUGACAUAUUUUUACUUGAUAAUUCAAAGUGAAAAACAUUACCCAAAAAUUUUAAUUCUUCAUAAACAAAUUUUUAUUGGUGCAUUUCAUGUAUUAAUGACCAAUUUACAUUGUUGUUUGAUCAAAUAAUGGAAAGUCCAAUGUAAACAGCAAAAUCCUACUUUAUUUGUUGCGUCCAAAAUCUUGGGUAUCCUUAACAGUCCUAUUGAAAUUAUUGAACAGUCCCGCUGAAAUUAUUGAACAGUCCCACUGAAAUGAAUUAACAGUCCCACUGAAAUUAAUCAACAGUCCCACUGAAAUCAAUCAACAGUCCCCCUGAAAUUAUUUAACAGUCCCCCUGAAAUUAAUCGACAGUCCCACUGAAAUUAAUCGACAGUCCCACUGAAAUUAAUCGACAUUCCCACUGAAAUUAAUCAACAGUCCCACUGAAAUUAUUUAACAGUCCCACUGAAAUUAAUCAACAGUCCCACUGAAAUUAAUCGACAUUCCCACUGAAAUUAAUCAACAGUCCCACUGAAAUUAUUCAACAGUCCCACUGAAAUGAAUUAACAGUCCCACUGAAAUGAAUCAACAGUCCCACUGAAAUUAUUUAACAGUCCCACUGAAAUUAAUCGACAGUUCCACUGAAAUUAUUUAACAGUCCCACUGAAAUUAAUCGACAGUCCCACUGAAAUCAAUCAACAAUCCCACUGAAAUUAUUUAACAGUCCCACUGAAAUUAAUCGACAGUCCCACUGAAAUUAUUUAACAGUCCCACUGAAAUUAUUUAACAGUCCCACUGAAAUUAAUCAACAGUCCCAAUGAAAUUAAUCCACAGUCCCACUGAGGUAAAUAUGCAGCAUUAGAAUCUGAGAUAUGAACAGAAGUUCAUCGAUUCAAAUGUUUUCCACUGAGCCGAAAAUCAGCUUAAGCAACUGGACAACUAACUUUCAGAAACAAAUGAAUGACAAAGAAUCUUUUGGAUUGCUUUAGGUGAAAUAAAAAAUAUGUGUGUU